CUCGAUAUUCUUUCAAACUCCUAUGCAAAAAGAAUUGGUUUAAAGCUUCAAAUAUGGCUCUAAAAUCACUUCGAGACCUAUCAAAAUAUUCAGACUUCUCAAGUCAAUAUGAGCCCAAGAAUUUGGGGAAAUUUUUCAAUUAAACUGGCUAUUGCUUGGCUAGUUCGAUAUUCCUAGGUGUUUUACUACAUGUAAACUAUUUUUAGAACUCAAAAUCUAGCUUAAAUGGAAUUAAAAAGCUAAAAAAAAUCAUGAAUGAAGUGUCGAGUUCGACCACUUACCAGAAAGGAAAUGGGUUGUCUAAGACCUGGCUUAAUUUCUCAAUAUCCAACAAAUUUUCUGGUUUCUAGGUGGUCAAAAAUUGUUUCCCAUCCACAGUGGUCACUCUCUCACUAUUUUUGUUUCCUCUUUCUCUUGAAUUUUGGCUCACACAGAUGAGCUUAUCUCCUGUUUCGGGUUUUUUCUGCCCAUUGAAGCGAAGAAGAAGAAGAAGGUCAACAUUUUCAAGGGCAAGGGAAACCAUAAAGAUCCGGGCCAUCGAUCUGCAUGCAGUGUUUCUCAGUCGUUUGAUUAGAUUUAUUGUCGAGGGCAUUUUCAUAAAAUUUCUUGCAUUUUAAAUUUCGACUAUUAGAUCAAACCUGUAUGCAAUCUGGGUCGUUGGUUUC
This 665-nucleotide long non-coding RNA is filed under the name Carica papaya (papaya). RNAcentral's name for it is "long non-coding RNA (CPAP_LNC009002)". Lineage: Eukaryota; Viridiplantae; Streptophyta; Magnoliopsida; Brassicales; Caricaceae. The record is from RNAcentral.